ACGGAAGGCAGCAGUGGGGAAUAUUGGGCAAUGGGCGAAAGCCUGACCCAGCGACGCCGCGUGAAGGAAGACGGUCUUCGGAUUGUAAACUUCUUUUAUAGAGGACGAAAGAAAUGACGGUACUUUAUGAAUAAGCCACGGCUAACUACGUGCCAGCAGCCGCGGUAAUACGUAGGUGGCGAGCGUUAUCCGGAUUUACUGGGUGUAAAGGGUGUGUAGGCGGGAUAGCAAGUCAGAUGUGAAAAUUAUGGGCUCAACUCAUAACUUGCAUUUGAAACUGUUGUUCUUGAGGGUCGGAGAGGUAACUGGAACUCCUGGUGUAGCGGUGAAAUGCGCAGAUAUCAGGAAGAACACCGGUGGCGAAGGCGGGUUACUGGACGAUUACUGACGCUGAGACACGAAAGUGUGGGGAGCAAACAGGAUUAGAUACCCUGGUA
RNAcentral lists this ribosomal RNA (437 nucleotides) under uncultured Oscillospiraceae bacterium. Its description in RNAcentral is "bacterial SSU rRNA". It matches the Rfam family "Bacterial small subunit ribosomal RNA", at positions 341 to 792 of the family's 1533-position model. The record is from RNAcentral. Lineage: Bacteria; Bacillati; Bacillota; Clostridia; Eubacteriales; Oscillospiraceae.